GCCGGUGUAGCUCAGGGGUAGAGCGUUUCCUUGGUAAGGAAGAGGUCACGAGUUCAAUUCUCGUCAUUGGCU
This is a transfer RNA of 72 nucleotides. It matches the Rfam family "tRNA". Rfam says of the family: Transfer RNA (tRNA) molecules are approximately 80 nucleotides in length. Their secondary structure includes four short double-helical elements and three loops (D, anti-codon, and T loops). Further hydrogen bonds mediate the characteristic L-shaped molecular structure. tRNAs have two regions of fundamental functional importance: the anti-codon, which is responsible for specific mRNA codon recognition, and the 3' end, to which the tRNAs corresponding amino acid is attached (by aminoacyl-tRNA synthetases). tRNAs cope with the degeneracy of the genetic code in two manners: having more than one tRNA (with a specific anti-codon) for a particular amino acid; and 'wobble' base-pairing, i.e. permitting non-standard base-pairing at the 3rd anti-codon position. The record is from Rfam.